RNAcentral lists this unclassified non-coding RNA (301 nucleotides) under Glomeraceae sp. Its description in RNAcentral is "partial contains 5.8S ribosomal RNA, internal transcribed spacer 2, and large subunit ribosomal RNA". The stretch from base 1 to 65 matches the Rfam family "5.8S ribosomal RNA", at positions 84 to 154 of the family's 154-position model. Lineage: Eukaryota; Fungi; Glomeromycota; Glomeromycetes; Glomerales; Glomeraceae. The record is from RNAcentral.
GUGAAUCAUCAAAUUUUUGAACGCAAAUUGCACUCUCCUCGGAGAGUAUGCCUGUUUGAGGGUCAGCCUAAAAAAAAUCGACAUCGUUGCUGUUUCACCGGUAACGUUCGUCGGAAAUUGGGUCAUCUUAAACCUUUUAGUUUAAGCGACUUAAAAUUUUCUUUUGAUUCCAUGAACGUUUCUAAGAUUUAUUUCUUUACACGUUUAAGGUAUCGAUUUAUUAGACGUUGCCGUCAUGUCGGAUCGCGUCCAUAAUCUUUCAUUAACUGACCUCAGACAGGUAAGAGUACCCGCUGAACUU